UACAGAGGUCCCAAGCGUUGUUCGGAUUCACUGGGCGUAAAGGGUGCGCAGGUGGGCUGGUAGGUUCGAUGUGAAAGCCCCGGGCUUAACCCGGGAAUGGCAUUGGAUACUACUGGUCUGGAGGAUCGGAGGGGGGACUGGAAUUCUUGGUGUAGCAGUGAAAUGCGUAGAUAUCAAGAGGAACACCAGUGGCGAAGGCGAGUCCCUGGACGAUACCUGACACUGAGGCACGAAAGCCAAGGGAGCAAACAGG
RNAcentral lists this ribosomal RNA (253 nucleotides) under uncultured bacterium. RNAcentral's name for it is "partial 16S ribosomal RNA". It matches the Rfam family "Bacterial small subunit ribosomal RNA", at positions 524 to 776 of the family's 1533-position model. The record is from RNAcentral.